ACUCGAGUAGCUUAUAGUUAGAGCGCGACACUGAAGAUGUCGAUGAGGCACCUGUGCUGCCUUUGAGUA
RNAcentral lists this transfer RNA (69 nucleotides) under Furculitermes soyeri. Its description in RNAcentral is "tRNA-Phe". The record is from RNAcentral. Lineage: Eukaryota; Metazoa; Arthropoda; Insecta; Blattodea; Termitidae.